CCUCUCUCGCGCUCUCUCGCUCUCCCUCACUGCCCACCUAUGUCUCUCUCCCAGCUGAGAGGGGUGGAGGCUGACGGCCGAUGCUUUUUCAGCGGAGAGGGGAUGGAGGAAAGGGGGAAUUAGUGGCUCCUCUUCACUCGGUCUUCGCAACAGCGUCCCAGUAAUCAGAGACCAGCAGCCUCAGCGGAGAUUUUUCAUGGGAACGAAACGGCUUAAAAUGAGCCGGGGAGUGAUCGCUGAUCUGCUGCACAAGGCUUGAAUCCACCGAGAAACCCCAUGGAGCAGGAUGUGGAGAGCCCAAUAAUCAGAAAGCCCAAGUUGCCAAAGCAGGCCAGAGAGGACCUGCCUAAACACCUGGCAGAAAUCGACCGGGCGAAAAAGAUCCAGCGGUAUGUCCAGAAAGACGGGAAGUGCAACGUCCAUCAUGGAAACGUUCGAGAGACAUACCGCUAUCUGACAGACAUUUUUACCACACUGGUAGAUCUCAAAUGGAGGUUUAACCUCUUCAUCUUUGUGUUGGUGUACACGGUGACAUGGCUCUUCUUUGGCUUCAUGUGGUGGCUUAUUGCCUACCUCCGGGGUGAUCUGGACCAUAUAGCAGACAACCAGUGGACUCCGUGCGUCAAUAACCUCAACGGGUUUGUAUCAGCGUUUCUGUUCUCCAUUGAAACAGAGACCACCAUUGGUUAUGGAUACAGAGUGAUCACGGACAAAUGCCCCGAGGGAAUAGUGCUGCUUUUAGUUCAGUCAGUGCUGGGAUCUAUCGUGAAUGCCUUCAUGGUGGGUUGCAUGUUUGUUAAGAUCUCGCAGCCCAAGAAACGGGCUGAGACACUAGUGUUUUCCACCAAUGCAGUCAUCUCCAUGAGAGAUGGUCGGCUGUGCCUGAUGUUCAGAGUUGGAGACCUCCGAAACUCACACAUCGUCGAGGCUUCAAUCAGGGCCAAGCUUAUCAAGUCUAAGCAGACCAAGGAGGGGGAGUUCAUCCCUUUGAACCAGACAGAUAUAAACGUGGGUUACAACACAGGAGAUGACAGGCUCUUCCUGGUAUCGCCACUCAUCAUCUGCCAUGAGAUCAAUCAAAACAGCCCCUUCUGGGAUAUCUCACAGGCCCACCUGGCCAAGGAAGAGCUGGAAAUUGUUGUGAUCCUCGAGGGGAUGGUGGAGGCCACAGGUAUGACCUGCCAGGCAAGGAGCUCCUACGUCAGCAGUGAGAUCAAGUGGGGCUACCGCUUCACACCCGUCCUGACGCUGGAGGACGGCUUCUACGAGGUGGACUACAACAGCUUCCACGACAUCUACGAAACUGACACACCCACCUGCAGUGCCAAAGACCUCGCUGAUAUGGCCAACCGCGCCCGCUUGCCCCUAACUUGGUCGCUGGCUAGCAAGCUGAGUCAGCAGGGGCUGCCAGAGUCUGAACAGGAGGGUCCGGAGACCAAAACCAACCUGGAGGACCAGGGGAAGAGUGAGAAGACCGAGAGGAACGGGGACAUUGCCAAUUUAGAGAGUGAGUCCAAAGUGUAGCGAGCGUGGCAAGAGGCAAGCGUGAGGUCGAAACAAGAUUAAUGGACUGUACUGUAGGUCUCCCGCCGAGGAAGGCCACCCAAUGAGGACCAAUGAGCACAGUAGACCAAGUACCCCUGCACCACGAACCGCUUCUUUCUCAGUGAUUUACAUUUACCCCAAAAACGAGAAAACACGUAGACAUGUGGCCCACCGCUGGAGUGAAAACCCCCUGCGGCAAGUGCAUGUUUCAAAUAUAAUGUGAUGUCCUCCUGACAAGAUUCCUAUUAUUUUUUCUAUUAAGAUAUUCCUAGGGGCAUUUGCUAAGUAUUUUUGUAUAUACUACAAAAUGUUUUAAAUUCUUUGUUUUGUUGCAGUGUGAAUAUUUGACACAUGUUUGAUACUACUUCCUUUAGGUUAGUUCUGUAUAUAUUCUCUGCCUUACUGUAUGUAUAAAGCUUUCAUUAUUUGUUUUUCAGGAAUAUAUAAGCAUGUAUAAACAUUAUCUGCAGUUGAUUUAUCUUGUAUUCUGUAUAUACUGUAUGAUGAUAUUAUUAUUAUUAUUAUUAUUAUUAUUAUUAUUAUAAGGAAAACAUACAGUUCAAUGGAUGCAAACUCUAGUUUAAACCAAUGAAAGAUUCUUCCCCAAUGAUAAGUGUUUGUUUAAAGUAGUACUACACGAAGCCAUGACUUGCUGUUUACAGCUGACUGACUUCAGACAAUGGCCCUUUAAAAACUGCAUUUUGUCACUUUUGCACACUGGAGUCUUCUGAUGAAGGUUAGUGGCUGUUUGAGUCUCCAGAAAUAACUCACCUGUCACCUAAAAGUAUCAAUAAAUAAACACGCAUCGUGAUCUGCGUCCUGAUUGGCUGUAGACCAUUGUCAAUGAAUCUCCUCGGCGCAGUGUCUCCUGUACGGCACUUCCGGUGGCACCCAAAAGGCAGAGGAAGAUGCUAACCAUGGCACAAAAAAGUUGGACUUCUGGACAUGCUAAAGGAAGUUGGAGCCAGGAGGCUGCACGAAGACCAAAGAGCUGAACAUGACAGAAAAACAACUUCUCUGUAAGAAGAGGAAACAAAAAGUAAAGGAUUGACAUCAAGCUCAGAAAACAGAGAAAAGAAACUAGUGAUGGACUUCAAAAUAAACUGUAUCGUCCAAGCUUUGAAGAAUAACCACAAAACAAGUGUGACAGCACAACAAUCAACAGCCUCAAAAACGUGGAGAUUCAAAAUGAAAAAGUUUGUGUUGUGCACCCAAAAAAUGGCCUUGAAGCAAAGUUAUGAGACAGAUGAGAGCAUAAAUCCAACCUUUGCCAAAGUCAGGGAAAGCCAACAGUGUGAAGAAAACCACAAAGUGCCCUUGACUCAAAUCAUUUCCGCUCCUCAGCGAAGCACACAGCAGCGAAAACCGUCAUCCUCGGCAGACUCGGAUAAUUCAUUUUCACUGACAGAGGAACAGAUGACGGCGGGGGGAGCAGCAGGUGUUGUUUAGAAGUGUAAAGAUUAUUUUGGCAGGACGUUCAUCCUGCAACAAGACAGUGACACCCCCCCCCCCCCCAGCCACACCGAGGUGCAACCAAAGCUUUUAUCAGCCUCAGUCUUAAAUAAAGUGUCCACUUCAGGCUCCAGAUUUAAACCCUACUGAACAUUUUCUCUGCAGCAAAGGAGAGCGAAGGUAAACGUCACUGGAAGGUGUUCUAAAAAACAAAAAACGUCCAAAAAACUUUUCCUUCUUUUGACAUACAUCUGUUCACUUGCACAUGUGGAAAAGCUGACUUUGACCACAAACUGGCAACAAAACAUAAGAUUUGACUGUCCCGAGACAGUAAGAUAAUUUGUAGAUGUACUUUGAAUUCAUAUUUUAGUUUCAUAUUUCAUGGUUAUAUUAACUGUUUAGUUUCUGUUUACUGCAGCUCUAAUUCUCACCAUGACUACAAAAAAGCACUGAGUUGCUGCUGUGUGAUUGGCUGAUGAUUUGCAUUAAGGAGCAGAUAACGAAGUGUACAGUGUAUUUCUGCUCCUGUCCACAGACUAGACAAAGUCUGGUGUGUUAAAAUCAUUGUUGUUUUUUUCCUAAUAACCUUUUUAAUGUGUGAAGUUUUUCCCUUUACCUGAUGAUGGACAGCCUGUUUUUUAACCGCACAUACUGACACUGGCAGCUCGUUGCCUGCAGUGUGACCCAUAAUUAAAAGAGAAUUUUAUUUGUUU
This is an RNA transcript of Oreochromis niloticus (Nile tilapia), 3710 nucleotides long. It is a transcript of the gene named potassium inwardly rectifying channel subfamily J member 6, with no coding region annotated. The record is from RefSeq and is a predicted model, not a curated record. The transcript is spliced from 6 exons. Lineage: Eukaryota; Metazoa; Chordata; Actinopteri; Cichliformes; Cichlidae.